UUGAUCACCAACACACACAGGUGUUGUAAAACUGUCAAAAUGACCUCAAUGUUUUUGUUUACAUCCGCGACGAGUCCGAUAGUUCGCGAGGCUCCGAACUUUUUUCGCGUUUUUCCGCGGUUUCGCGCUUUAUUCGGCUUUGGAAAUGCCUUCCGUAAAACGAGCUUCCCGGCGCUUUCACGUACCCGCGAUUCCGCUUUCAUUCGCCGGUCGAUAUGCCAUUUUAUGUUGUGGAAUCUGCGAGGGAAUUGUACGCUGGGAAAGAGAAUUGUUCGACGAAGAAUAUUUCAUUGCACGAAUGGAAUUUUCUUAAUGGAUGGUCCGGACCAAUGGUAUGAAUGGAUUUGGGCUUCGUUCUGCCCUUUUGCAACGACGAUGGGAUAAUUAUUAUCGCCAGUUCGCCUCGAAGACCGCAACUAACGCUUCCUACUGACGCUGUACGAAUCAUCUUUAAACUUUGGCGGACGGGCCGCUAGUGUACCCUCAGGACCUCUUCGAGACCUGAGCAAAAAUAUCAUUAUGAUGUACCCUCAGGCUCUCUGAGACUAGAGCAAAAUUUGUGUCUGAUGUAUUUUCACGACCUCUUAUUGAGACCUGAACAAAAUAGUUUCUCUCUGUUUCCAGGAGCAAAUUGACUAAUCAAUAAAUGUAUAUGUCUU
Armigeres subalbatus is the source of this 659-nucleotide long non-coding RNA. RefSeq lists it as uncharacterized. The transcript has 3 exons. Lineage: Eukaryota; Metazoa; Arthropoda; Insecta; Diptera; Culicidae. The record is from RefSeq and is a predicted model, not a curated record.